GCGAGACGUCUCAGGGACACCCACGUGCACAACCUGCUGAGCAGCUUGAAGGCGGUCAAGUCUCACGGCCUGGAGGUGGCGAACUUACGGUCGGAAGUGGCGGGGCUGAGGCGAGCCCUCGAGAUUUCGCAGACACGACUGCGGUUGGUCGAGGAAGAGGUCGUGAACAAGGAAGAGGUUAUAAUGUUGAUGACGAAGUCGGCCAAAGUUCACGACUCCAUGAUCAGAGAACGCGAAAACAGGAUUCGUGCUUGUGAAAAUGAAAUUGCCAGCAACGAGGAUACAAUAAAAAAUCUUACUAUUUCUCUGGCGGACCAAACGAAGUGGAACCGGGACCUCCGGGAGAUCGUGACGAGCACGCGGCAACAGCUGCAGGAGCUGUGAGGCCGAGAAGCCGUGCCAGGCGGCGCAUGCGCGCGAGUGUGUGUGUGGCCAUACGGUGCUCCAGACAACCUUGCCACUUUCCGACCACCGCUGUACGCUUUACCUCCGGUCGGGAGGCAGUUUUAUUCAAACACAAAAAUAUUGUGACUUAGAGACGUGAGUGGAGAAACGUAACCACGUAUUUAUAUGGAAAAAUUUCCUUUUUUUUUUUUCAUUACGAGGUUGAAGUUUGUGAUACAAUAAUUUAUUUUCUGCGGAUUGGCAGAUACUGUUCAAACAAAAAAAAAUUGUUCAUAACAGUUGGUAGAGUGUAGCAUGGGUCCUACCUAGCUCUCAAAUAUUAAGUGAACUAUUAGGUAUGUUGGAAAGAAAGACAAAAAUGUAUGUUUUAUUUCCUUUCCUUGAAAUAAAAACAUCUCUAAUUGAAACCCGGGGCUUUCUUCAGUUUGUUCGUUUGAUAGAGCAACGUUGGAAGACCUUCUUGGCUUUUACACGUAAUUAUUAAAAGAAUAAAUAUUGUGUUUCCUCAAUACUGCUUUAUAUCAGCUGAUUAUUUGCUGCAAGUUCAUAGUGACCUAGUUUUUAACAUACUUUUGUUUUAUUAUGUGCAAUAUUAUUGUAAUUAAUCUUAGUCUUCAAGUGUUUUAUUUUGAAAAGCCUCUUGACUAUACAUAUAUUUUUAUUGGCUUUCACUUUGCUGGCUUGGGUAUUAUUUGUGUUAAGUGUGAGUUUCAGUAUUCAUUGCAAUUAAAUGUUAUUUUUUUUAAUAUAAUUUUUCCUAUGCAUUUUAUAGUGGUUUCAAAACAGUGAGGAUUGUGUCGAAAUUAUAAAAUAAUCACACAUAAAAGCAAACAGAGUGGCACCUUUUGAUGUUUUUUUAAGUAACCAACUUUAUUCAAAGGGAAAAAAAAACCUAAAUAUUUUCAUGAAUGAAUCUUUGGCUUGAAGUGUUUUAAAGCUAAGCAACAAAUGGGAAGAUUCACAUCAAGAACGAAUAGCAUAUUUCCUGGAUGAGUCAAAUGAAAUAUUAAAAAGAGCUUCGGUUGAUUAGCUUAGUGGAAGCUUCGCACAGGCCUAGUUAGCGGCAUCGUACUUUGACCUUACAGCCCCUCGACUUUUCGUCGACAAAGUGUUACGGUUGUGCGCCGCUACGGUCUUAGUAACCCGAGGAGACACUAGAGUUGUCAUAAAAAUGUAGUCUGCACACGCCUCUUUCACUUGCAUCCUAACCCCGUUUGAUUCUUUUAAAUGAUUUUAAAAAAUGUGACAAGAUCAUUGUCAUUAGAAAUGAGAUUCCAUGGUUUCAUUUUCAG
Molecule: long non-coding RNA, 1697 nt
Organism: Bacillus rossius redtenbacheri
Lineage: Eukaryota; Metazoa; Arthropoda; Insecta; Phasmatodea; Bacillidae
Exons: 5
Source: RefSeq, a predicted model, not a curated record